CAUUACCCUAAUUUCUCAUUUUCCUUUUCACACUGUCAUCAUUUCAUCAAGCACAAUGUUUACUCUUUUGAUCCAAAAGAUACAAAGAGCCUCUUUUGUUGUUUUAUCGAUUACUAAACCCUCCCUCAACUUUGACUAAUCAUGAAAGUGGUAGCUUUGUGUUAAUAGGCUGUAUGCAGUUUUUGAGGGAAGAUCUUUCAAGGAAACUGUAGAAGGAGCAUGAUGGAAAAUUGUAUUAUUUUUCAAAGCUUGAAGGUGAGCAAUCCUAUAGUUCUCGGCUGGCUUAUUUUGAGCUGAAAGAUAUAUACUUCAACCUGUGAAAAGCAACUCCUUUCACUAGAAUUUUGAGAUUUUCAAAGUUAUGGUGCACUGUCACUCAACCUAAUGGGAUAAUAAAGGCAGAUGCUAUUGAACUGGUGUCGUGGCCGAAAACAGAGGUAUAGAAGUAACGCGUGACUCCUAGUCUCUCCAAGCAUUCAAAAGAAGAGAGAGAGGUACUUAACCUCUUAAAAUGGUGGGCAAGGAGCCUGCAGUACUAAGCAAGCAAAACAUCCUCUCUCUCUUUUUUUUACUUAAUCUUGUGACAGUGACUAGUCCGUGAGAGAAAGGUAAACUAAAUGGAUCAGAACAUGAUGCAUUAUAAGUUCACUAUACUACAAAUUUUUAAUUUAUUUUAUAUCUCAUAAUUGUUAAUAUUAUUAAUUAUUGGUGUUAUAUGUUCUCAUCCUUAACUGAUAAUUGCUUGGAUGCAAUACUAAGUUCAUUUGAAUUGGAUAUUUUAUGCCAUCAACUUUGCUUUUGGUCUUGGUCAAUGAGUCUGUGUGAUGAAAGAUUGAACUCUCUGAUUGCUAGGGAAUGGAAUUUAAAUGAAAAAACUUUAAAGAUAUUAUUAAGAAGGUCUAUUCAUGCUAGUAUAUAAAUUUGUAUCCAGAUAUGUCUUUUUUUAUUUGGUAAUCUUAUCCAGAUAUGUCUUUACUUCUAGUGUUAAUGGUUCUUCCGGAGUUAUUAAAACUAUGUUUGCGAAAAGUGUGUUUUUCAGAAAGAAGAUUACAAAGCAAUGGACAAAUCUUGGAUAACAAUGCCACAAAAUACAUCUAUGUAUGUGGAGGGAGUUCGGGGAUUUAUUAACUUUGCAUUCCAAAAUUGUGGUGUUGAAGGUGAAAUAAUAUGCCCUUGUCCGGUAUGUGGAUUUAGAAAGUGGCAGCCAAGAGAUGUUGUCUAUGAUCAUUUAAUUUGCAAACAAUUCCCCAGAGGAUACACUUUUUGGUUCUACCAUGGCGAGUCAAGGAUGGAGGAAAAUAGUAAUAUCAAUGCCACACAUUUUCCAGAUGUGGAACAAAACAACUUGGUUGAUGAAGAUCCAAUACAAAACAUGAUAAAUGAUGCAUUUGGAGUUGAUAUCUUGCAUGAGAAUGAGCAUAACUUUGACACAAAUGAAGACAUUGCACAAGAUGGUGGAACCACAUCAAAUGAAGAUAAAUAUUUCUUUGAACUAGCAAAAGAUGGAGAACAACCUCUGUAUGAAGGAUGUAAGAAAUAUUCAAAGCUUUCUUUUAUGUUGAAGUUAUAUCACAUCAAAUGCUAUUGUGGGAUGACUGACAAGGCUGUUACAAUGAUGUUGGAGCUACUACAAGAUGCAUUUGAAAAUACCAAUUUGCCAACUUCAUUCUAUGAGGCAAAGAAAACUAUUUCAAAGUUGGGUUUAGACUAUGAAAAGAUACAUGCUUGUCCAAUUUGGUACAUUUGGAACUAGAAGUUAUUCAAGUAAUAGUGAUAGUCAAAUGAGGUUUGGAGAUGUCUUGUACUAUGGCAAACUGAUGGACAUUAUAGAGAUCAAUUAUAAUUGCUUAUUCACAGUUACUUUGUUCAAGUGUCAAUGGGCUAAUACCAUUAAUCCUAAAGGCAUCAAAAAAGACAAUCUGGGAUUUACUUCAAUUAAUUUCACAAGACUAAUACAUACAGAUGAACAUGAAGAUGAUGAGCCAUACAUCAAAGCAUCUGAAGCUCAAAUGGUUUAUUUUGUGGAUGAUGAGAAAGAAAAAGGUUGGAGCAUACCUAUUCAUUUGAAACCAAGAGAUUUGUACGACAUGGGUGAAGAUGAAGAAGACAUUAUGCCAUCCAUUGAGUCAUUUCCAUCCCAAAACUUGGAACAAAUAUUGUCUGGUGAUGCUAUGCAUAUUCAGUUAACAAGACCUAAUGUAGAUGAUGACAAUCACACUUUGACCGUUAAUGAACAUGACAAUGAUUAAAGUGGUGUACUGAAUGACAUGAGCAAUGCAGGCUAGAUUGGAUAAUUUGUAUUUUGAAACCUAAUUUGUAUUUUGAAACCAAAUGUAAUAGGAUUAUGCAAUUUUGUCUCACAUUUGAUAAAUUGUUGAUUGAUGCAAUUUUUGUUUUUCUUAAUUUAUUCAUGGUUAAUUCAUGCCUAAUAUUGCUCUCCCUUUGUAAGUUAUCAACAAUGUUUUAUGAAUUCAUUAUGUGCUUCAAUUGAUUAGUUGUUUUGAGUAUUUGUACUUAUUGUCAUUGAGUAUUUGGAUUUAUAGGGAUGCCUCGGAAACCAUGAUUCAUUAUGAGGCCUCAAUCUACACCAGGCAAUAUCCUUAAUUGUUUCUCCAGGGACUAAUACUGAAAGUGGAGCAGCACAUAGUUCUCUUAUUUUGACACUAAGUCCAUCUAAUUUAGGCAACGAAUUACAACAUUCAGCAAAUAGAUGCACACGUAUGUAAUUUUAACUGCUUUGUUUUCUCUUAUUUUGUUUUUCAGAUUAACCAGGUUCAAUUUCAGCACAACGUUGAGAAAAAGAGCGCUUUCGCACUAGGACUUCUUGCCAUCAAGAUUCAUUUAUUGAGGAGUCAUUAGUGGACUUAAUGGAUGAGGAGAGUUUCAGGCUCUCAUGUUUGGAAUCCUCCAUUGGUAUCAGAAAUUCUUCACCAAAUAUUAACAUAUCAUCCACACAACAAGGUCAAAAUGAAAGAUUAGCAUCUCCUCUUGAUGACUUUUUUCAUGGAUGAUAUUUAAAUUCUAGAAAUUUUGAAAACUUCAGAAUGACAUUUUAUUGGAAAUUUUUUUUGUGAUCUUUAAUUUCUGUUUAGGUUACAGUAUUUUGGGAUCUUUAUUUUCUGUUUAGAUUAUAGC
This is a long non-coding RNA of Gastrolobium bilobum, 3135 nucleotides long. RefSeq lists it as uncharacterized. Lineage: Eukaryota; Viridiplantae; Streptophyta; Magnoliopsida; Fabales; Fabaceae. The record is from RefSeq and is a predicted model, not a curated record. The transcript has 7 exons.